This 578-nucleotide ribosomal RNA is filed under the name uncultured Ascomycota. RNAcentral's name for it is "eukaryotic LSU rRNA". The stretch from base 208 to 361 matches the Rfam family "5.8S ribosomal RNA". The record is from RNAcentral. Lineage: Eukaryota; Fungi; Ascomycota.
CUUGGUCAUUUAGAGGAAGUAAAAGUCGUAACAAGGUUUCCGUAGGUGAACCUGCGGAAGGAUCAUUACCUAGAGUUGUAGGCUUUGCCUGCUAUCUCUUACCCAUGUCUUUUGAGUACCUUCGUUUCCUCGGCGGGUUCGCCCGCCGAUUGGACAAUUUAAACCAUUUGCAGUUGCAAUCAGCGUCUGAAAAAACAUAAUAGUUACAACUUUCAACAACGGAUCUCUUGGUUCUGGCAUCGAUGAAGAACGCAGCGAAAUGCGAUAAGUAGUGUGAAUUGCAGAAUUCAGUGAAUCAUCGAAUCUUUGAACGCACAUUGCGCCCCUUGGUAUUCCAUGGGGCAUGCCUGUUCGAGCGUCAUUUGUACCUUCAAGCUCUGCUUGGUGUUGGGUGUUUGUCUCGCCUCUGCGCGUAGACUCGCCUCAAAACAAUUGGCAGCCGGCGUAUUGAUUUCGGGGCGCAGUACAUCUCGCGCUUUGCAUUCAGAACGACGACGUCCAAAAGUACAUUUUUACACUCUUGACCUCGGAUCAGGUAGGGAUACCCGCUGAACUUAGGCAUAUCAAUAAGCGGAGGA